Molecule: ribosomal RNA, 468 nt
Filed under: uncultured bacterium
Lineage: Bacteria
Description: partial 16S ribosomal RNA
Rfam family: Bacterial small subunit ribosomal RNA
Source: RNAcentral
GACGAACGCUGGCGGCGUGCUUAACACAUGCGAGUCGAACGGAAAGGCCCUGCUUUUGUGGGGUGCUCGAGUGGCGAACGGGUGAGUAACACGUGAGUAACCUGCCCUUGACUUUGGGAUAACUUCAGGAAACUGGGGCUAAUACCGGAUAGGAGCUCCUGCUGCAUGGUGGGGGUUGGAAAGUUUCGGCGGUUGGGGAUGGACUCGCGGCUUAUCAGCUUGUUGGUGGGGUAGUGGCUUACCAAGGCUUUGACGGGUAGCCGGCCUGAGAGGGUGACCGGCCACAUUGGGACUGAGAUACGGCCCAGACUCCUACGGGAGGUAGCAGUGGGGAAUAUUGCACAAUGGGCGGAAGCCUGAUGCAGCAACGCCGCGUGCGGGAUGACGGCCUUCGGGUUGUAAACCGCUUUCGCCUGUGACGAAGCGUGAGUGACGGUAAUGGGUAAAGAAGCACCGGCUAACUACGUG